RNAcentral lists this ribosomal RNA (444 nucleotides) under uncultured bacterium. RNAcentral describes it as "SSU rRNA". It matches the Rfam family "Bacterial small subunit ribosomal RNA", at positions 26 to 518 of the family's 1533-position model. The record is from RNAcentral.
AGAGCGAACGCUGGCGGCAGGCUUAACACAUGCAAGUCGAGCGCCCCGCAAGGGGAGCGGCAGACGGGAGAGUAACACGUGGGAACGUACCUUUCGGUUCGGAACAACCCAGGGAAACUUGGGCUAAUACCGGAUACGCCCGCAAGGGGAAAGAUUUAUCGCCGGAAGAUCGGCCCGCGUCUGAUUAGCUAGUUGGUGAGGUAACGGCUCACCAAGGCGACGAUCAGUAGCUGGUCUGAGAGGAUGAUCAGCCUCACUGGGACUGAGACACGGCCCAGACUCCUACGGGAGGCAGCAGUGGGGAAUAUUGGACAAUGGGCGCAAGCCUGAUCCAGCCAUGCCGCGUGGGUGAUGAAGGCCCUAGGGUUGUAAAGCCCGUUUCGGCGGGAAGAUAAUGACGGUACCCGCAGAAGAAGCCCCGGCUAACUUCGUGCCAGCAGCCGC